This 76-nucleotide transfer RNA is filed under the name Rothia nasimurium. RNAcentral's name for it is "tRNA-Lys". It matches the Rfam family "tRNA". From Rfam's summary of the family: Transfer RNA (tRNA) molecules are approximately 80 nucleotides in length. Their secondary structure includes four short double-helical elements and three loops (D, anti-codon, and T loops). RNAcentral also lists the same sequence under 6 other names. Lineage: Bacteria; Bacillati; Actinomycetota; Actinomycetes; Micrococcales; Micrococcaceae. The record is from RNAcentral.
GGGCCGUUAGCUCAGCUGGUAGAGCAGUUGACUCUUAAUCAAUUGGUCCUAGGUUCGAAUCCUAGACGGCCCACCA